RNAcentral lists this ribosomal RNA (460 nucleotides) under uncultured bacterium. RNAcentral's name for it is "partial 16S ribosomal RNA". It matches the Rfam family "Bacterial small subunit ribosomal RNA", at positions 338 to 795 of the family's 1533-position model. The record is from RNAcentral.
CCUACGGGAGGCAGCAGUGAGGAAUAUUGGUCAAUGGACGAGAGUCUGAACCAGCCAAGUAGCGUGAAGGAUGACUGCCCUAUGGGUUGUAAACUUCUUUUAUAUGGGAAUAAAAUGUUCCACGUGUGGGAUUUUGUAUGUACCAUAUGAAUAAGGAUCGGCUAACUCCGUGCCAGCAGCCGCGGUAAUACGGAGGAUCCGAGCGUUAUCCGGAUUUAUUGGGUUUAAAGGGAGCGUAGGUGGAUUGUUAAGUCAGUUGUGAAAGUUUGCGGCUCAACCGUAAAAUUGCAUUUGAAACUGGCAGUCUUGAGUACAGUAGAGGUGGGCGGAAUUCGUGAUGUAGCGGUGAAAUGCUUAGAUAUCACGAAGAACUCCGAUUGCGAAGGCAGUUCACUGGACUGCAACUGACACUGAGGCUCGAAAGUGUGGGUAUCAAACAGGAUUAGAUACCCUAGUAGUC